Long non-coding RNA from Gigantopelta aegis, 189 nucleotides. RefSeq lists it as uncharacterized. The transcript has 5 exons. The record is from RefSeq and is a predicted model, not a curated record. NCBI's taxonomy places the organism in Eukaryota, Metazoa, Mollusca, Gastropoda, Neomphalida, Peltospiridae.
UUCAGGUAUUGGCAAACGAGACAUUGAAGAGAGAUUUCUGUUUCCACUUCCUGAUAUCUGUAAAAGUGGUGUCGUGAUCUGUAUGUAGAUUGAAGAGCUGCAAAAGUUUCAUACAAUUCCACAUUUUGAACACAGCAAGGAGAAUGUGAGAUUACUGUAACACAAAGAGAAAAUAAAACAUCAAUUCAC